RNAcentral lists this ribosomal RNA (492 nucleotides) under uncultured bacterium. RNAcentral describes it as "partial 16S ribosomal RNA". It matches the Rfam family "Bacterial small subunit ribosomal RNA", at positions 29 to 507 of the family's 1533-position model. The record is from RNAcentral.
AGUGAACGCUGGCGAUAGGCCUAACACAUGCAAGUCGAGCGGCAGCACAGUAAGAGCUUGCUCUUACGGGUGGCGAGUGACGGACGGGUGAGGAAUACAUCGGAAUCUACUUUUUCGUGGGGGAUAACGUAGGGAAACUUACGCUAAUACCGCAUACGACCUACGGGUGAAAGCAGGGGAUCUUCGGACCUUGCGCGAUUGAAUGAGCCGAUGUCGGAUUAGCUAGUUGGCGGGGUAAAGGCCCACCAAGGCGACGAUCCGUAGCUGGUCUGAGAGGAUGAUCAGCCACACUGGAACUGAGACACGGUCCAGACUCCUACGGGAGGCAGCAGUGGGGAAUAUUGGACAAUGGGCGCAAGCCUGAUCCAGCCAUACCGCGUGGGUGAAGAAGGCCUUCGGGUUGUAAAGCCCUUUUGUUGGGAAAGAAAAGCAGCAGGUUAAUACCCCGCUGUUCUGACGGUACCCAAAGAAUAAGCACCGGCUAACUUCGUG